RNAcentral lists this ribosomal RNA (422 nucleotides) under uncultured prokaryote. RNAcentral describes it as "bacterial SSU rRNA". It matches the Rfam family "Bacterial small subunit ribosomal RNA", at positions 355 to 774 of the family's 1533-position model. The record is from RNAcentral.
UAGGGAAUAUUGGUCAAUGGGCGGAAGCCUGAACCAGCCAUGCCGCGUGCAGGAAGGAGGCCCUACGGGUUGUAAACUGCUUUUACCCGGGAAGAAACCGCCCCCUGUGGGGGGCGUUGCCGGUACCGGGGGAAAAAGGAUCGGCUAACUCCGUGCCAGCAGCCGCGGUAAUACGGAGGAUCCGGGCGUUAUCCGGAAUUACUGGGUUUAAAGGGUGCGUAGGCGGGGCUUUAAGCCGGCGGUGAAAUGCAGCGGCUCAACCGCUGGAAUGCCGUUGGGACUGGGGCUCUUGGAUACGGUCGGGGCGGGUGGAACUCGUGGUGUAGCGGUGAAAUGCAUAGAUAUCACGAGGAACGCCGGUAGCGAAGGCAGCUCGCCGGGCCGGUAUUGACGCUGAGGCACGAAAGCGUGGGGAUCGAACA